UAGUCUGCUGGCAGGUAAAGCUGGUGAACUCUAUUCCACCUUUAGCACUGAUACCAUAAGCGUCCCCUCUCUCCUAAAAAGGGCUCUCCUGACUGGUUUUGACAAGAUUUCUAGGCUGAGCCCAGCUGCAACAUUGAGUGAGGAAGAACCCUAUAGCACUGAUACCAUAAUCGUCUUCUCUCCGACAAAGGGCUCUCCUACAAAGGGCUCUCCUGACUGGUUUUGACAAGACUUCUAGGCUGAGCCCAGCUGCAACAUUGAGGGAGAUAUGUACAAGUUUUCCGCUUCAUUACUGGGACACCUUUGUAAAGAGAACACCACCUGACCAUCACCCCUCGUUCUGGAUCGUUUGGCCACUCCCGAGCGAUACUUCGCUUACUUCUCUACCACGUAUGUCUCGGGUAUCCUGCUUCUUCCGGUCACCACAUCUCGAGGCCUCAGUGAACACCUAACCGAGUCUACCUCGAGCCUCGCCAACGCAAGACGGCAGAGAACUCCCUAGACUCUCCAAGGACUGGCUUCUCCUCUGCUGCCCUGGAUUCCCCAUCUACCUGCUUCCCGGCGCCGUCAACGAGUCUGCCUCCAGUGUUGGGUAGUGGACGCCGCCCUGUCGCCGCCGCGCCGUCCUUUGCCUAUUGACAGAAGGAAAAGCAAGAGACAGAGGGGACAGGACAGGCUGCGAAGGGCAGGUCAUUAGUAGCACACCUUCUAACCUGUGUCGCUUAUCACGUGGGAGGGACGAGUGUUCUGUGCCACCCGCUAAAGGCUCACUUACAAUGCUUCAGGAGGCCUCUCAGCACUCGCGGCGGAAACGAUUCCCUGAAGAGCGACUAUUGUCGGGCCAGCCGCUCAGACGGCCUCUUCCUAUUUCCGGCCCCUCCAAGGUGAGGGUUUUCCUGCACGGCUGCGGCAGAGGCGGCGACGGUGGUGGCGGCAGAGGCGGCGACGGUGGUGGCGGCUGGUCGGUGUUGAUCUUCAGCUGAUGUUAAGUAGCAAUAAGGUAAAGCCUACGCAGGUUACUGCUUCCUUAUUCUCCUCCACCUUCCUAUUCUGGGACCGUCUUAAACCUGACCCUCCACCACCUCGCCGCCACCACGUCACCUGCUCCACCAAGCCGCCGACCACCCGCCGUGCCACCAUCACAGGAACCACCACCACCACCACAUCGUUACUUUCCUGAAGCUAAUAAUCACUUUACACAUAUUGUUUCGGAUCUGAACCGUGACAGAUAACAGAAAACGAGCUAUAGAUCUCUAAAUGUGUCUAAGCUAUUCUUGUACCUCAAGUCUUUGUUGCAUAUU
Molecule: long non-coding RNA, 1301 nt
Organism: Portunus trituberculatus (swimming crab)
Lineage: Eukaryota; Metazoa; Arthropoda; Malacostraca; Decapoda; Portunidae
Exons: 3
Source: RefSeq, a predicted model, not a curated record